UUUUGAUAAUAUUUUAUUUCAAAUAUACUUGAUUGCACACAAUUUCCAGUCAUAUUCUAUCAUAAAAAAUACACAAUCAUCAUUCAAUUUUAACCUUUAAUAUAUGUGUACAUAAAUACACAAUCAUAUGUGUACAGUGCCAGACUAUUACAACUUCGAACAUAACCUUUUAUUUAGUGAUCUAUAACUUCAUCAUACCCACUUAUAAGUCAAUCACGAGUUACUUUAUUAACUUUAGAAGGAAGUAAUAAUUACUAUACUGAAGGAAGUAUAGAUUUACAGAAAAACAAUGAUAAAUAAAUACAAUUGUAAGUAUAAAGAGUUGUUAACUCCAGGAAGGAAAUACAAAGUGGGAUUUCCACUAAAAAUAUCUUGAGUACAGUAAAAUCUGUCUAUACUGAUCACCUGUCUAUGAUGAUAACCUGUCUAUGAUGAUAACCUGUAAAAUCUGGCCUCAAUAGUUUUUAAGAUAGUAAACUUUUAUGGUCAAAUUCCAAAAAAAAAACCCAAAGAAAAUCUUAAUUUUAAAAUGAAUAGUGAUAUCCAGUGAUAGUUACAAGGUUUUCAUAACUACUUGAAAAAUAGAGGAAAACCCCUAUUAACAUAGCACAAAUAUUCAACCAUAAAAUAUAUGGAGGAAGGUUAUGAAUUGGCAUCACAUAGAUGUAUAUUUGCAAUCAGAAAAAGUUCAGUGAAUAUAAUGAAAGUUUUAAACCACUUCAGAAUGAUGUAUUUACAAAUGUAAGGAAUUCUAAAAUAUAUAUCUCCUUAUAAUCAUGUAUAACAAAAUAAAUAAUAACAAUAACAUGCUUGGAUUUUAUUUUAGAUACCUUGUCCAAAGUAGAUCUAGCAAUCUGUAUUGGGACUAAUACAAACUAAUUCCAUGGAUUCAAAUCCCUUAUUUCAACCUUAAGGUCCUUUGAUGUUCUGCAUAUUCAUUUCUCAUAUAUCGCUUUGAUUACAAUUUUUUUUUAGUGUAAAAUAAAAGUUUCAAAUAUUGCAAAAACUUUGUCAAUGAUAAAUUCAUGAAUCAUAACCUGAUUAAUUUUUAAACAAUCAGAUCCAACGUUAAUUUGAGAUGGAUGAUAGGUCAAAGGGAAAAAGAUUAACAAUAAAGAACUAAGUGGAUCUGAAUCGGGUGUGGAUCUGUAUCAGGUGUGUAUCUUUUGUUGAUUUCACAUUCUCAGUAUUUAUUUAGAAUGACAGUAGUUACUGAAGAAAUAAUUCUUUGUUUUGUAGUGAAAUGUACUGUACUUUGGAAGAAAAACUGUUAAGUAUUAAAAUUAUUAGCAGAAAAACAGUUAUAUGCUUUAUAAAUAUUUAAAAAUAUAUAUCUCAACAAGCAAACAAUAAAAAUUAGCAAGCAGAUAUAUUUUUAUAUUUUCUUUUAGUUUCUUAAUAGUGAAACAGGAUUGCUUCCCUUUGGUAAUAAGGCUAAAGAAGCAGAAGCGGACAUAAUUCCAAUAGAGAUGCCUUAUGAGUUGAUAGAGAUUUUUUCAGUCAGAAUCAUGCUCUUUUGUUACAAGAAAGUAAAACAAAAUAACCUGGGAAUAACUAUUUUUAAGCAUUUAUAUAAUAAACAAUUUACAAAAAAAAGUUGUGUAGUUAUUUACACUCAGAACACAUAAAGGUAAAAAAAAACCAAAAAACAAUAAGUGUGUAUAACUAAAGGCAUAUUGUGUAAAAUGACUAGAACAAUCAGCAAAAUAUAAAACAACAAAAAAUCUCAAGAUAACUUUAAAAGUUUUAACAUCAUAAAGAAAUCAACUCAAUAUUGUGUAUUAUCGCACU
Molecule: long non-coding RNA, 1791 nt
Filed under: Mytilus galloprovincialis (Mediterranean mussel)
Lineage: Eukaryota; Metazoa; Mollusca; Bivalvia; Mytilida; Mytilidae
Source: RNAcentral